AAUGGCUCAUUAAAUCAGUUAUAGUUUAUUUGAUGGUGUCCGUUUAGGUUACGUGGAUAACCGUGGUAAUUCUAGAGCUAAUACAUGCAAAAUGUCCCGACUCGUUUGUUGCGGAAGGGACGUAUUUAUUAGAUCCAAAGCCAAUGCGGGGUUAGGUUGGACUCUUGUCGUCCUUCCCCGGUUACGUUGGUGAUUCAUGGUAACUGCUCGAAUCGCUGUGCCUCCGAGCCGGCGAUGGUUCAUUCAAGUUUCUGCCCUAUCAACUUUCGAUGGUAGGGUAUUGGCCUACCAUGGUCGCAACGGGUGACGGAGAAUUAGGGUUCGAUUCCGGAGAGGGAGCCUGAGAAACGGCUACCACAUCCAAGGAAGGCAGCAGGCGCGCAAAUUACCCAAUCCCGACUCGGGGAGGUAGUGACAAUAAAUAACAAUGCCGGUCCCUAUAGUGGUCCGGCAAUUGGAAUGAGUACAAUCCAAACCCCUUAACGAGGAACAAUUGGAGGGCAAGUCUGGUGCCAGCAGCCGCGGUAAUUCCAGCUCCAAUAGCGUAUAUUAAAGUUGUUGCAGUUAAAAAGCUCGUAGUUGGAUUUCGGGGCCCCAGACGUCGUCGUUCGGGUCCCGCCUUCGGCGGGUAACUGUCCGUUGGUGGGUUCGGUUGGCGUCGUCGGUCUCUGAGUCGGAUCGGUCCGUCGAGAGGCGAGCACUGACCGACGGCCUCUGUUUGUCUCUCGGGGUUCCCGUCUGCUCUUGAGUGCAGCGGUCGGGGAGUUCGGGACGUUUACUUUGA
RNAcentral lists this ribosomal RNA (784 nucleotides) under Petrosia sp. ARY-005. RNAcentral's name for it is "bacterial SSU rRNA". It matches the Rfam family "Eukaryotic small subunit ribosomal RNA", at positions 92 to 760 of the family's 1831-position model. The record is from RNAcentral. Lineage: Eukaryota; Metazoa; Porifera; Demospongiae; Haplosclerida; Petrosiidae.